GAUGAAGAACGCAGCGAAAUGCGAUACUUGGUGUGAAUUGCAGAAUCCCGUGAACCAUCGAGUCUUUGAACGCAAGUUGCGCCCGAAGCCACUAGGCCGAGGGCACGCCUGCCUGUGCGUCACACGCCGUUGCCCCCCCAUCUACUCCUUCGGGAUUGCGGGGGGGCGGAUGAUGGCCUCCUGUGCGCCUAGCCGCGCGGUUGGCAUAAAUACCAAGUCCUCGGCGACGCACGCCACGACAAUCGGUGGUUGCGAAACCUCGGUUGCCCGUCGUGUGCGUUCGUCGCGCAUCGAGGGCUCGAAAAAAUGCUCGGCUCCGGCUGGGCUUUCAACGCGACCCCAGGUCAGGCGGGGUUACCCGCUGAAUUUAAGCAUAUCAAUAAGCGGAGGA
Molecule: unclassified non-coding RNA, 391 nt
Filed under: soil metagenome
Description: partial contains 5.8S ribosomal RNA, internal transcribed spacer 2, and large subunit ribosomal RNA
Rfam family: 5.8S ribosomal RNA (bases 1-122)
Source: RNAcentral